RNAcentral lists this non-coding RNA (29 nucleotides) under Rattus norvegicus (Norway rat). The record is from RNAcentral. Lineage: Eukaryota; Metazoa; Chordata; Mammalia; Rodentia; Muridae.
UCCGACGGGGUUUGGUACAAGAUAGUGAC